Paramuricea clavata is the source of this 403-nucleotide non-coding RNA. The record is from the annotation of a GenBank genome assembly. Lineage: Eukaryota; Metazoa; Cnidaria; Anthozoa; Malacalcyonacea; Plexauridae.
AUUAUCUACGUAACGUAUGAUAUAUAUCGUGUAGUUUUCAUGUGUAGGAAACAUCAUACAGUAAAUAAUUUAUUCCUACAACAACGAUGACAUUUUUCACAAGAUGUAAGGCAUUUCCCUGAACUAAAGAAACUUUUAGCUUAAAUAUGGAAUUCAACAACAAGAAAUUGAAUCAUUGUGCAGCUUGUGAACAAAAGCUGGAAAUCGAAAUUUGUAAAUAAAUAAUGAAUGCUGAAUAUUAACAAUGAAAUCAAUUUAGGGUUAACUGAUUUUUAACUGAAUGUUUAUUAAUUACAAGCAUGCAUGGAAAUAGGUCACAUAACUAAUUUGUAGUAAGGUUGAAAAUAUUCUUGUGCAACGGAUAUUGUUUAAGAAAUUCAAUGUAAACGGAGACUAUAUAGAC